CGGAGUGUAGCUCAGCCUGGCUAGAGCGCUACGUUCGGGACGUAGAAGUCGGAAGUUCGAAUCUUCUCACUCCGACCA
Molecule: transfer RNA, 78 nt
Filed under: bacterium
Lineage: Bacteria
Also listed under: 1 other name
Description: tRNA-Pro
Rfam family: tRNA
About the family: Transfer RNA (tRNA) molecules are approximately 80 nucleotides in length. Their secondary structure includes four short double-helical elements and three loops (D, anti-codon, and T loops).
Source: RNAcentral